CGCUGGCGGCGUGCCUAAACACAUGCAAGUCAACUUGACUGAAGGAGCAAUCUGACAGUAGAGUGGCGCAAGGGUGCGUAACGCGUAAGUAACUUGCCCCAAGGUAAGGAAUAACGUCGAGAAAUCGGCGCUAAUACCUCAUAAUGCAGCGGAUCCGCAUGGAUAUGUUGUUAAAGGUUUACCGCCUUGGGAUAGGCUUGCGUCUGAUUAGUUAGUUGGUGUGGUAACGGCACACCAAGGCUACGAUCAGUAACUGGUCUGAGAGGAUGAUCAGUCACACUGGAACUGAGACACGGUCCAGACUCCUACGGGAGGCAGCAGUGAGGAAUAUUGGGCAAUGCUCGAAAGAGUGACCCAGCAACGCCGCGUGGAGGAUGAAGGUAUUCUAUAUCGUAAACUCCUGUGAGAGCAGACGAAAGACAGAUUAUUAAUCUGGAUGACUGUAUGCUCAGAGGAAGCCCCGGCUAACUACGUG
This 475-nucleotide ribosomal RNA is filed under the name uncultured bacterium. RNAcentral describes it as "bacterial SSU rRNA". It matches the Rfam family "Bacterial small subunit ribosomal RNA", at positions 34 to 507 of the family's 1533-position model. The record is from RNAcentral.